Non-coding RNA from Danio rerio (zebrafish), 112 nucleotides. Lineage: Eukaryota; Metazoa; Chordata; Actinopteri; Cypriniformes; Danionidae. The record is from RefSeq and is a predicted model, not a curated record.
CAUAUGAAAGCAUGGCUCAGUUACAAGAUGUUUUCAUCGAAAGAUGAGAAAUCAACUUAAGAAUGCUAAGGACCUGACUUUAAGGAAUUGAUUUUACAGCAGCACUUCUCAU